CUGACUUUAUCAGCCUUUUCACUAAGAUCAAGUGUAGUAUCUGUUCUUAUCAGUUUAACAUCUGAUACAUCCUCUAUUUGAGGACUAUAUAUUAAAUGGGUUUUUGGGUCUGGGAGAUGGAAUAGGGACUUGUUUCAUCCACUCGACACAUCAACCUGGUAUUGCAGUGCCUCCAACUAAUAUGCACCCCCA
This is a small nuclear RNA of Anolis sagrei ordinatus, 192 nucleotides long. RefSeq annotates it as U2 spliceosomal RNA. Lineage: Eukaryota; Metazoa; Chordata; Lepidosauria; Squamata; Anolidae. The record is from RefSeq and is a predicted model, not a curated record.